Molecule: ribosomal RNA, 440 nt
Filed under: uncultured bacterium
Lineage: Bacteria
Description: partial 16S ribosomal RNA
Rfam family: Bacterial small subunit ribosomal RNA
Source: RNAcentral
CCUACGGGAGGCAGCAGUGGGGAAUAUUGCACAAUGGGGGAAACCCUGAUGCAGCGACGCCGCGUGAGCGAAGAAGUAUUUCGGUAUGUAAAGCUCUAUCGGCAGGGAAGAAAAUGACGGUACCUGAAUAAGAAGCUCCGGCUAAAUACGUGACAGCAGCAGCGGUAAUACGUAUGGAGCAAGCGUUAUCCGGAUUUACUGGGCGUAAAGGGAGCGUAGGCGGCCUGCCAAGUAUGAUGGGAAAUACCUGGGCUUUACCCCGAGGCUGCAUUGGAAACUGUCAGGCUUGAGUGCCGGAGAGGCAGGCGGAAUUCCUAGUGUAGCGGUGAAAUGCGUAGAUAUUAGGAGGAACACCAGUGGCGAAGGCGGCCUUCUGGACUGUGACUGACGCUGAGGCUCGAAAGCGUGGGGAGCAAACAGGAUUAGAUACCCUUGUAGUC